UGCCAGCAGCCGCGGUAAUACGGAGGGUCCAAGCGUUAUCCGGAUUUAUUGGGUUUAAAGGGCGCGCAGGCGGUCUUGUCCGUCAGGUGUGAAAGCUCGGGGCUCAACCCCGGAAGUGCACUUGAAACAGCAAGACUUGAAUACGGUAGAGGAGAGAGGAAUUCCUGGUGUAGAGGUGAAAUUCGUAGAUAUCAGGAGGAACACCGAUGGCGAAGGCAUCUCUCUGGGUCGAUAUUGACGCUGAGGCGCGAAGGCGUGGGUAGCAAACAGGAUUAGAUA
Molecule: ribosomal RNA, 279 nt
Filed under: uncultured bacterium
Lineage: Bacteria
Description: partial 16S ribosomal RNA
Rfam family: Bacterial small subunit ribosomal RNA
Source: RNAcentral